Molecule: ribosomal RNA, 468 nt
Filed under: uncultured bacterium
Lineage: Bacteria
Description: partial 16S ribosomal RNA
Rfam family: Bacterial small subunit ribosomal RNA
Source: RNAcentral
GACGAACGCUGGCGGCGUGCUUAACACAUGCAAGUCGAACGGACAGGCCCUGCUUUUGUGGCGUGCUCGUUUGGCGAACGGGUGUGAAACACGUGUGUAACCUCCCCUUAACUUUGUGAUAACUUCUGGGAACUCGGGCGCUUAUCGCAUAGGAUCUCCUGCUGCACGUGGUUGGUUGGUAAGUUCCGGCGGUUGGGGAUCGAAUAGCUGCUUAUCAGCUUGUUUGUGUGGUAGUUGCUUACCAAGGCUUUGACGGGUAGCCGGCCUGAGAGGGUGACCGGCCACAUGAGGACUGAGAUAGGGCCCAGAAUCCUACGGGAGGCAGCAGUGGGGAAUAUUGCGCAGUGGGGGGAAGCCUGAUGCAGCAGCGCCGCGUGCGGGAUGACGGCCUUCGGGUUGUAAACAGCUUUCGCAUGUGACGAAGAGUGAGUGACGGUAAUGGGUAAGGAAGCAACGGCUAACUACGUG